UACGGAGGGUGCAAGCGUUAUCCGGAAUCAUUGGGUUUAAAGGGUCCGUAGGCGGAAUAAUAAGUCAGUGGUGAAAGUCUGCAGCUUAACUGUAGAACUGCCAUUGAUACUGUAGAUCUUGAAUUAUUAUGAAGUGGUUAGAAUAUGUAGUGUAGCGGUGAAAUGCAUAGAUAUUACAUAGAAUACCGAUUGCGAAGGCAGAUCACUAAUAAUUUACUGACGCUGAGGGACGAAAGCGUAGGUAGCGAACAGG
RNAcentral lists this unclassified non-coding RNA (253 nucleotides) under uncultured Flavobacteriaceae bacterium. Its description in RNAcentral is "contains 16S-23S intergenic spacer region". It matches the Rfam family "Bacterial small subunit ribosomal RNA", at positions 524 to 776 of the family's 1533-position model. The record is from RNAcentral. Lineage: Bacteria; Pseudomonadati; Bacteroidota; Flavobacteriia; Flavobacteriales; Flavobacteriaceae.